CACCAUAAUUUUUUUUUUUUUUUUUGAGACGGAGUCUCACACUGUCGCCAAGGCUGGAGUGCAGUGGUGAGAUCUCGGCUCACUGCAACCUCCGCUUCCCGCGUUCAAGCGAUUCUCCUGCCCAAACCUCUCGAGUAGCUGGGGCUACAGGCACGUGACAACAUCCCCGGCUAAUUUUUUUCUUUUGAUUUGUUUAGCUGGUGGCCCUUAGGCUUGGGAUCUUAGUUCAAAAUCAUUGUACAAACUAAAUUUAUUCUACUAUUGCUAAUU
Molecule: long non-coding RNA, 270 nt
Organism: Homo sapiens (human)
Lineage: Eukaryota; Metazoa; Chordata; Mammalia; Primates; Hominidae
Source: Ensembl